Small nucleolar RNA from Rhododendron vialii, 109 nucleotides. RefSeq annotates it as small nucleolar RNA snoR100. Lineage: Eukaryota; Viridiplantae; Streptophyta; Magnoliopsida; Ericales; Ericaceae. The record is from RefSeq and is a predicted model, not a curated record. The transcript has a single exon.
CAAUGAAGAAAGCAUGGUAAUGUGUACAUAAAUUGAAUUGGGUCUCUAGGUCUAGCCUCUCUGAUGUCAUUUGGCUUUGAUAAAAGGGGCAUGAUUCCACAGCAAAAUA